Molecule: small nuclear RNA, 106 nt
Filed under: Symbiodinium microadriaticum
Lineage: Eukaryota; Dinophyceae; Suessiales; Symbiodiniaceae
Source: RNAcentral
GAACCCUGGAUCAUCCGAUAUAGUUGGAACGAUACAGAGAAGAUUAGCAUGGCCUCUGGCGCAAGGAUGACACGUACACACAAAUCGAGAAGUGCACCAAGUGCUG